AAAAAGAUAAGCUAACUAAGCUACUGGGUUCAUACCCCACUCAUAGAGAACAAUAAUCCUCUUCUUUUUA
Molecule: transfer RNA, 70 nt
Filed under: Hypothenemus sp. BMNH 1040235
Lineage: Eukaryota; Metazoa; Arthropoda; Insecta; Coleoptera; Curculionidae
Description: tRNA-Met
Source: RNAcentral